GCCGGGUGUGCUGAUGAUGGGGGAAGAA
RNAcentral lists this small RNA (28 nucleotides) under Bombyx mori (domestic silkworm). RNAcentral's name for it is "ovarian small RNA-16714". Lineage: Eukaryota; Metazoa; Arthropoda; Insecta; Lepidoptera; Bombycidae. The record is from RNAcentral.